UUUAAAACAUACAACACCCCAGCAGCCCAGCAAUUCCACUACUUAUUAGCCUAGAGAAAUGCUUUAUGUGUUAAUAUGGUUUGGCUCUGUGUCCCCACCCAAAUCUCACCUCGAAUUGAAAUCCUCAUUUGCCCAGGUGUCAAGGGUGGGACCAGUUGGAGGUAAUUGGAUCAUGGGGGUGGUUUCCCCCAUGCUGUUCUUCUGAUAGUGAGUGAGUUCUCAUGAGAUCUGAUGGUUUUAUAGGCAUCUGGUGUUUCCCCUGCUUGUACUCACUUCAUCCUGCUGCCCGGUACCUGCUUCUCCUUUGCCUUCCACCAUGAUUGCAUGCCGUGAACUGGAAAAUGUUUUUGAAAUCAAGGAAAAGCAGCAAAAAGGAAGGCGUUACCAUGGAACUGAGAGAGGAGAUACAAAUCUUUGUUCCUGAUGGUCUUGUUCCCACCUGCCUGGGUGCUGCAGCUCUGUGCUGCCUGAGAAAGCCAGUGACCAAGAGGAGCAGAAGACUAGCAGGUAUCAAGUGCUUUGGGUUGACUAUGAAGAGCUAGAAAAGAAACUCAGUAUUCACCCAUCCAAAUUUUCAAGGAAAAAAGCAAGAAAAGCAUGCAUAUGCACAACACCUAAGACAUAACAAAACAGGAAUCACUUACCUGUUACGAUUGCCUAAGUCGACCUUCCAACCACGAUGGCCGUUGAAGAGAUGCCAUCAAGCCAGGGUCUCUGCUUCUCCCUGCUGCAGCCUGUAUCCGAGACUGGCUUCCUGACCUGCACCUCGGUGAAAGGAAGGAAAGAGAAGGGGAAAUAGAAACAGAAGCAAUGUGUGAAAGAUCCAGUUGCUCUACGUCCUUGCUAGCAGUUGGUAUGGUAAGUAUUUUCAAAAUUUUAUCUAUCCAAAUAGAUGGGUAGUGGCAGCUCAUUGUGGCUUUAAUUUGCAUUUUCCUAAUGGCUAACUUUCCUAAUCUUUUCAUGUACUUAUUUGCCAUACGUAUCUUUUUUGGUUAAAUGUCUGUUCAUAUGUUUUGCCUGCCAAUUUCUUUUCUUGUUAGUGAGUUUUGAGAGUUCCUUAUAUAUUCUACAUACAAGUCUUUUAUUAGAUAUAUGAUCUGCAAAUGUUUUCGCCCACUUUGUGGCUUCUCUAUUCUGUUCUCUUACAAGUAUUUUUCAAACAGCAGAAAUUCUUAAUUAAAUUUAUUUAGUUUUCCUUCUCUAACUGUGCUUGGUUGUCAUGUCUAAGAAAUUGUUGGCAGACCCCAACAGCAAAGAUUAUUUUCCCAGUUUUUGCUAGAUGCUUUAUAGUUUUUGAUUAGUGAAGAUAUUAUGAUUGGAGAAGAAAAUUCAGGGGCUUUAAAAAUACUGUCAUAGUUCUAUUUUGUUUAACCUGCUUGGUAUUUACAUGGGUGCUUGCUUUAUUAUUUUUUUAAAUGUUAUAUAUCUGUACAUCUCUGGGUAUGUUUACAGUAAAAAAUUAGAAAACGAGUAUGACAAAAAUUUGACAUCCAUUCAUGUCAUAGGAAAAAUAAGCUGUAAAUAUUAUACUUAAUGGAGAAAGAUUCGCAGCAUUCUCUUUGAAGUACAGUAGACAAGUAUGCUCACCAUAACGGCUUGUAUUCAACAUUGUUUCAGAGGGCCUGGCUAUAUCAGUAAAAUAAAAAUCAGAACAAAUAAAUAUUCACAAUGAUUAUAAAGGAAUGAUAAAAACAAAAUAAAGGUGAUAGGAUUAUUUCUAUAUAAUGUC
This is a long non-coding RNA of Cercocebus atys (sooty mangabey), 1729 nucleotides long. RefSeq lists it as uncharacterized. NCBI's taxonomy places the organism in Eukaryota, Metazoa, Chordata, Mammalia, Primates, Cercopithecidae. The record is from RefSeq and is a predicted model, not a curated record. The transcript is spliced from 4 exons.